UCAAGUUAUUAAGGGUGCAGGGCGGAUGCCUUGGCACUAGGAGCCGAUGAAGGACGUGAUAAGCUGCGAUAAGCUUCGGGGAGUUGCACGUAAACUUUGAUCCGAAGAUUUCCGAAUGAGGAAACUCACUUAGAGUAAUGUCUAAGUAUCAUUAAGUGAAUACAUAGCUUAAUGAGGGGAACUCAGGGAACUGAAACAUCUAAGUACCUGAAGGAAGAGAAAGAAAUUCGAUUCCGUAAGUAGCGGCGAGCGAACGCGGAUUAGCCCAAACCAAUAAAGUUUUCUUUAUUGGGGUUGCGGACAUAUCAUAACGAAGAGGUAUCGUAAUUGAAGAGGUUUGGAAAGACCCACCAUAGAAGGUAAUAGUCCUGUAUGUUAAACGAGAAGACUUUAGAUAUGAUCCAGAGUACCACGGGACACGUGAAACCCUGUGGGAAGCAGGAGGGACCACCCUCCAAGGCUAAAUACUACCUAGUGACCGAUAGCGUAUAGUACCGUGAGGGAAAGGUGAAAAGAACCCCGGGAGGGGAGUGAAAUAGAACCUGAAACCCUGCACUUACAAGCUGUGGAAGCACAUUUCUUGUGUGACCGCGUACUUUUUGUAGAACGGGCCAACGAGUUACGUUAAGUAGCAAGGUUAAGCACUUAAGGUGCGGAGCCGUAGCGAAAGCGAGUUUUAACUGAGCGUUCAGUUACUUGACGUAGACCCGAAACCGGGCGACCUACCCAUGAGCAGGAUGAAGCGAAAGUAAAAUUUCGUGGAGGUCCGAACCCACGAGCGUUGAAAAGCUCGGGGAUGACUUGUGGGUAGCGGUGAAAUUCCAAUCGAGCCCGGAGAUAGCUGGUUCUCCCCGAAAUAGCUUUAGGGCUAGCCUCAAGGUGAGAGAUACGGAGGUAGAGCACUGAAUGUCCUAGGGGGUAUUGCACCUACCGAAGACUAUCAAACUCCGAAUGCCGUCAUCUUAUACUUGGGAGUCAGACUGUGGGUGAUAAGAUUCAUAGUCGAAAGGGCAACAGCCCAGAUCGUCAGCUAAGGUCCCUAAAUGUAAGUUAAGUGGUAAAGGAUGUGGGAUUGCACAGACAACCAGGAUGUUGGCUUAGAAGCAGCCACUCAUUCAAAGAGUGCGUAAUAGCUCACUGGUCGAGUGAUCCUGCGCCGAAGAUUUCCGGGGCUAAAACUUACUACCGAAGCUACGGCAUCAGUAAUGAUGGGUAGGGGAGCUUCCCAUACGGGUUGAAGCAUGACCGUAAGGACAUGUGGACAGUAUGGGAGUGAGAAUGUUGGCAUGAGUAGCGAGAUGUGGGUGAGAAUCCCACAGGCCGUAAACCCAAGGUUUCCAGGGGAAGGUUCGUCCGCCCUGGGUUAGUCGGGACCUAAGCUGAGGCCGAAAGGCGUAGGUGAUGGACAACAGGUUGAUAUUCCUGUACUACCGAUAACCGUUUGAGAGAAGGGAUGACACAGUAGGAUAAGCUAAGCACACUGUUGGUUAUGUGUGCCCAAGCAUUGAGGCAGUCAAAGUAGGCAAAUCCGCUUUGAUAAUGCUGGGAUGUGAUGGGGAGCGAAAUUUAGUAGCGAAGUAGCUGAUUUCACACUGUCAAGAAAAGUCUCUAUCGAGGUUAAAGGUACCCGUACCGCAAACCGACACAGGUGGGUGAGGAGAGUAUCCUAAGGCCAGCGAGAGAACUGUUGUUAAGGAACUCGGCAAAAUGACCCCGUAACUUAGGGAUAAGGGGUGCCACCAUCAGGUGGCCGCAGAGAAUAGGCCCAAGCGACUGUUUACCAAAAACAUAGGUUUCUGCUAAGUCGCAAGACGAUGUAUAGGAGCUGACGCCUGCCCGGUGCUGGAAGGUUAAGGGGAUCUGUUAGAGCAAUCGAAGCAGUGAACUUAAGCCCCAGUAAACGGCGGCCGUAACUAUAACGGUCCUAAGGUAGCGAAAUUCCUUGUCGGGUAAGUUCCGACCCGCACGAAAGGCGUAACGAUUUGGGCACUGUCUCAACAACAGACUCGGUGAAAUUGUAAUUCCGGUGAAGAUGCCGGAUACCUGCGACAGGACGGAAAGACCCCAUGGAGCUUUACUGUAGCUUGACAUUGGGUCUUGGUACUACAUGUACAGGAUAGGUGGGAGGCUUUGAAACCAGGACGCCAGUUUUGGCGGAGCCAUCCUUGGGAUACCACCCUUGUAGUACUGGGACUCUAACCAUAGGCCAUGAAUCUGGUCUUGGGACACUGUCAGGUGGGCAGUUUGACUGGGGCGGUCGCCUCCCAAAAGGUAACGGAGGCGCUCAAAGGUUCUCUCAGUACGGUCGGAAAUCGUACGUAGAGUGUAAAGGCAAAAGAGAGCUUGAUUGCAAGACAUACAGGUCGAGCAAGGAUGAAAAUCGGACUUAGUGAUCCGGUGGUUCUGCGUGGAAGGGCCAUCGCUCAACGGAUAAAAGCUACCCUGGGGAUAACAGGCUUAUCUCCCCCAAGAGUCCACAUCGACGGGGAGGUUUGGCACCUCGAUGUCGGCUCAUCACAUCCUGGGGCUGUAGUAGGUCCCAAGGGUUGGGCUGUUCGCCCAUUAAAGUGGUACGCGAGCUGGGUUCAGAACGUCGUGAGACAGUUCGGUCCCUAUCCGUCGCAGGCGUAGGAAAUUUGAGAAGACCUGUCCUUAGUACGAGAGGACCGGGAUGGACGUACCUCUGGUGUACCAGUUGUCCUGCCAAGGGCAUGGCUGGGUAGCUAUGUACGGAAUGGAUAAGCGCUGAAAGCAUCUAAGCGCGAAGCCAACUUCAAGAUAAGAUUUCCCACCGUAAGGGUAAGACCCCAGAAAGACUAUCUGGUUGAUAGGUCGAAGGUGUAAGUGCAGCAAUGUAUUUAGCUUAUCGAUACUAAUAGGUCGAGGACUUGACCAA
Molecule: ribosomal RNA, 2896 nt
Filed under: Clostridioides difficile
Lineage: Bacteria; Bacillati; Bacillota; Clostridia; Peptostreptococcales; Peptostreptococcaceae
Description: bacterial LSU rRNA
Rfam family: Bacterial large subunit ribosomal RNA
Source: RNAcentral